AUACGUAGGUGGCAAGCGUUAUCCGGAUUUACUGGGUGUAAAGGGCGUGUAGGCGGUCUCGCAAGUCGGAUGUGAAAUUCCCGGGCUUAACCCGGGCGCUGCAACCGAAACUGUGAGACUUGAGUACUGGAGAGGAUAGUGGAAUUCCUAGUGUAGCGGUAAAAUGCGUAGAUAUUAGGAGGAACACCGGUGGCGAAGGCGACUAUCUGGACAGUAACUGACGCUGAGGCGCGAAAGCGUGGGGAGC
Molecule: ribosomal RNA, 247 nt
Filed under: uncultured bacterium
Lineage: Bacteria
Description: partial 16S ribosomal RNA
Rfam family: Bacterial small subunit ribosomal RNA
Source: RNAcentral